Long non-coding RNA from Cyprinus carpio (common carp), 1177 nucleotides. RefSeq lists it as uncharacterized. Lineage: Eukaryota; Metazoa; Chordata; Actinopteri; Cypriniformes; Cyprinidae. The record is from RefSeq and is a predicted model, not a curated record. The transcript is spliced from 5 exons.
GAUGAAUUAUCAGAGAAUAGCAGUGCCUGUAUAUUUGUGUGUAUGUUUAGGAGAUGAAGACUUUGGACAAAGAGGUGUGUGCGUGGGACGUCUACAACGGUUUGGAAUCCAUCGGUGAGUUUUGUGAUGGAUGAGAACACCACACUUUGUGAUCUCUUAGAGCUGCAGCUCCACCGUGUGGAGGAGGAAGUAAAGAACAUUGUGGACAAAGCAGUCAAAGAGAUGGGAAUUGUAUUCUGCGUGAGAUUCAGCAGACAUGAUCCAUGAUGUCCCUGUCAUAUGAGACAUAUACAAGUACUGGAACACCUCUGCUCAAAGCUGAUGAAAACCUCAUUGAAACCCUGGAGGAUAACUUCCUGUAUCAGUCAGCUGGGUUUAGCAGUUCCAAACAAUUCUACAUAAUAAACGUUCACUUUGUUCAGGCCAGUUUGGUUCUGUUAAGAUCAGAUCCAUUUAUUUUGGUGAUGAUCAGUUUAAAUUAGUCUAAUUCUAAUUCCAAUUAGUUUGAUUCAAUUCAGUUCUGAUCAGUUUAGUUAAUUAUUUUAAUUCAUUUCAGUUCAAAUCAGUUAUGUGUGCUCAUGAUCAGUUCAGAUCAGUCUAGUUCCGAUCGGUUCAGUUUGGCUUCAGUCAAACUUCUAGUUCAGUCAGAUUUAAGUCAGAUCAGUUUGGUUUGGUUCUGAUUAGUUAAAGUCAGAUCAAUGUAGUGCAGUUAAAUUUCAGUCAGAUCAGUUUGGUUUGGUUCUGAUUAGUUAAAGUCAGAUCAAUGUAGUGCAGUUAAAUUUCAGUCAGCUCAGUUUGGCUCAGUUUAGGUCAAUUCAGUUAAAUUCAGUUGUGUGUGUUACGCAGGUUCAGUUGCAGAAUAUGUGGAGUAUUUCAUGGUGGAAGUGAGCGGCUGGCAGCGGAAGCUGGUGCUGGCUGAUCUGGUCAUUGGGACAUGGUUGGUGGUUCAGAGCACAUGGGCUGACCUCCAGAGCAUUUUCACCAACUCUGAGGACAUUCGGACCCAGUUGACCCAUGAUGCAGAGCGGUUUCAGGGCAUCAAUCAGGACUUCCAGGUAGCACAGACUGGCAGUCAAAUUUGGUGAGAAAAUGACUGUGUUUGUGACCGACUGUAUUGACCGACUGCACUUUUGAUGUCCAUGCUCGUGAUGUAGUUGCAAAACUCAUAUCUCAGAAG